This is a long non-coding RNA of Equus asinus (donkey), 2542 nucleotides long. The record is from Ensembl. NCBI's taxonomy places the organism in Eukaryota, Metazoa, Chordata, Mammalia, Perissodactyla, Equidae.
UUUCAGCCCAGCAGACCUGACCGUGUCAUAAUAGUUUGGCCUCCACAUCUUUGUUUAUGCUGAAAUGCCAACCAAGUUCCAACUUCUCCAUUACGUGAAGGCUUCACUGAUGACUAAAUUCCAGGAUCCAUCCGAGACACCACGUUUACAUUUAGCUGUUCUGUAUCCUUAACACUCCUAUUUGAGAGGGGCAGUUUCUCAGAUUUUUCUUGGUUUUGAUGACUUUGAAGAGUACUCAUCAAAUAUUUUGUCGAAUGUCCCUCAAUUGGAAAUUGCCUGGUGUUCUUCUUGUGACUAGACUGGGUUAUGGGUCUUUGGGAGGAAGUCCACAAAGAUGAAGUGCCAUUUUCAUCACAUCACAUCAACGAUACAUACUAUCGACAUGACUUAUCACUGUUGAAAUUGACCUUGAUCACCUGGCUGAGGUGAAGAUAAAAACCUCGUCAAUGUUUUAAUCAAGCAAUUAAAUAAUGUAUCUGACAAAGUAAAAUGACAUCCAUAAUCAAUUGGCUUUGUAGCUCAGAAGACUGUAUAACAUGUAAAAGAAUUUUGCAAUCACUGAAAAAAUAGAUUAAUGACACUGAAAAAUGAUGUGUUAUGAAUUUUCCAAGGAUAAGAAAUGUGCCUGGUCUCCAUAUAAUUUAACACAGAAAAAGUGAAUUAUGUUAGUUUUAAUUCUCACUGGAUAUAUCUUAGCCCUAAAGUUCUAAUAAAAAAGAUGACAGUUUGGGAGAACCUGAUGACCUGGAUGGAAGAUUUCAUCCAGUUAAGAGGGCUGCUGUUAUGUUCUUGUGGCAUGCAAAUGCUGCAAGAUACUGCCUGUCCCCAAGGACGUUGCAACAAUCAAGAAUAACAAUACUGUUAGGCUUCCUUGCCACAUGUAUCUGAAAAACGCUCCACAAUAUGCUUCAGAGGUGAAGGCCUAGCUUGUCAGUGCUUUUGCUACUGGCCCAUUGGAGAAAACCUCCCAUUUUAUCAACUUCUGUCUCUCAGAGAAUGUAAUAGAUGAUGGGUCCUGAGAUUGAAGUAUCCCCCAUCCACGGCCAGGACUUAGCAAAAAACAGUGACAUGCCAUGGAAGGGACACGUGAAUCUGCAGCAGGGAAAAUAAACUACAUGGCAAGGGUGAAUGCCUCUGUAGGACACAGAACUAAGAGAAGAGACAGAUUAACACAUUUUAAUUUAAGUGUAUCAUGCACUUUUAAGGAACCACGAUUAGAUGUUAUAAAAGGCUUUUGGAAAAAACCAAAACAUGAUUUCAGAAUUUAGAAUAGUAACAGAUGAAUCAACAAAAUUAAAAUGAUAAAGAAGUUCGUUUUCUGGAAGAUUUGCAGAAAUAUAAAAUCUUAACAUAGUACAUAAGUACAAAGAAAUAAAAUUGUGAUUAUAUUGAUAAAAGACAUGAAUGAUCUAGAAGACCGUAUAAUCCAAUAGGUAAGAUUUCCAUAAGGACAAAAUGGAACAGAUGGAAACAUGUUGAUCAAGAUUCUUCCUACAAACAACAGAAUGCACUCUGGCUACUUGAAGAAUUAAAUGAAUUUAUUAAAAUGUAUCUUAAAAUUGCAACUUUAAAUUGCAGAAUCUCUGCAAUGGCUGGAGAGCUAACCUGUGAAGCUAUGAGAUAGACAUAAUGCCCAAGAAAAACUUGGAGGCAUCUCUAGCAAAAAUGUGACUGCCCUAACCACUUGGUAACUUUGCCAUUCAGGACUAAGGACCGGAUUCUGAAGCUAGACAGCUAAGAAUGAUGCUUAAGCACAAAUGGGCUUCUGUAGUACAAAUGGCAUCAGCACCACUACUUAAGACAGAAGGCAAAAGAUUUCCUACCCUACUAUGCCCCAAGAAUGUGGCAUCUCUGCCACCACACCUGCCAGAUGAUAGAUUCCCAGUUCUUAGUAUUUUAGCUUCUAAGUUGGAGGGUGGAAGUCACACUGGAAAAUUACCAGUAUUUAGGCAUAGUAUUUCAAGAUGUUAAGCAACUACAAGUGGCCAAUAUUCACUGGAAGGUACAAUCUUCCAAAAAAUGAUAGCACUUCUUUGAGAUGAAAAGAAAUUUGAGGUUUUAGAUUGACUGUGCUUGCCACAUCCCAGAAAGGAUUAAAAGACAUAGACACAACCACAUCAGAGAUAUAAUUCUUUUGCUUGGUUGCCAGUUAUAUGAUGCCAUCUAGAUUGAGAGUGAGUGUGGGGUCAUAUUAUCCUGUUUUCAGACCCAUAAAUAAUCCCCUCAUUUUUUGCCCUCCUUUUCACUUCUGCUCUCUCUCUCUCAGACUAGUGGAUUAUGAAUCCCCACUUUCUCUGGGUCAUUUUCCAGACUUCAGCUCAUUUUCCAUACUGUAAUUUUGGCUCUGCCUUGAUAGUCAGUAUGCAAUCAUUCACUUGAGAAAUUCAUUAAAAUCACUUCUGUUCUCAUGGCCCCAUUUCUCAAUCUUUUUGCUGUUGUCCGUUUAUACUAUAUUUAUUCCUUUGCAAUCGUUUCAAUGAGUCCUCAGGAGGCGAGGGAUAGAAAUCUGUUUUAAGUCUACCAUCUUAACCUGUAAAUCUCC